UGCACAGUGUAUUCCAUAAUAUAAAAAAACCUCUUUGUUUUAAAGACUUUUAUUAAUGAUUUUCCUUCCAUACAAGCGUAUUAAAACAAGGCAAGAGGUAUAUAUUUAACUGAUACCGAAGGCACAGUCACAGAUGUCAACAGUUGAAUUUACAUUUUAUAUAUGGACAAUUUUCGCUCGUUCCUUUUCGUGUUAUAAUUUCGAAUGAAUCACUGCAAUUUCAGCU
Paramuricea clavata is the source of this 226-nucleotide non-coding RNA. Lineage: Eukaryota; Metazoa; Cnidaria; Anthozoa; Malacalcyonacea; Plexauridae. The record is from the annotation of a GenBank genome assembly.